CUCCCAUCUGGACUUGCAGUGACAGCACAUGUACAGCAUCAGGCAGACGCAGCAGUCUGGGGUCUUUCUCAGCCCCUCUUGGGAUUGCCUGCCAGAAGGUCGACAGCCUGAGCUCAGCUGGAAAGUGAAAUGCCAGCAUGUGCCUCUGGAUCUUGGGACUGCCUCAAGGUGCUCCAGAGACUCCAAAGGUGCUCUGAUAUGACGAUCGCUCCCCAUGCCAAGUCCUUGUGAUAGCGACAGGGGGAAGCUCUGACCUGCAGCCUUCCUUUUUCCAGUGUAAAAGCCAGCAGCGAAGGUUCACGGGACCGUGAAAGACCCACAGCUCUCCCUCCAAACACCCCACUGGGCUCCAGUCUGCAGCAGACGGGCCAGUCCCUUUUACAACAGUCCCUAUUUCAAGCCUGCAAUGCUUUUAAAUAUGACAGCGUGUGGGCGGGAAGCGGUGUAUCAGAUGGAGCACUGUCUCAGCUUCGUGAGCCUGCAGAAUAAAGAAACGGCACAAUAUUGCCUCCGCGGACAGCAGCCUUUCCUGGAACAUUAGACUGAAGCAGCGAUGUGGUAACAGAGACUCUGGCCUCUCUAGAUUGUGUUCCUGGAAAAGCCGUUCAAUUAUUGAUAAGGGUCGCACUGACAUCACCAAAAGACAAUGAGGCUCUUGCUUGCCUUUAAUAAUUUCUUACUCAGCAGAUCUUUCACUUACAGCUCAGCAGAAUUGGCAUUGCAGACACAUCAGCUAAAAUACAAUAUGCAUGCUGGAAAGACAGACAGGCGACUGCCCGGCUUUUUUGUUUGCAAACUGGAAAGGAAUAUAGAGCCGGGACACCAGGUCGAUUCUGCUUUGCAAAAUGCUAACUGCCAUUAUGGACUUGGCACAACCGGGUUUUCUUUCCUGCUGAUAACGUUUGGUCCUUGUUCAUUGUUCAGAGCUGCUCUUGAAUUCCUCCUCCCCCACUUAUCACAUAUGCUGGAGAGGAGGAUUUCCCAAUAAAGGUAAAGAGAAGGGACUGAUACUAAUGCUCCUGAUCUAAUUCAAUUUAACAAUCACUACUCUAGCUAGUAAAGCUGCUGCUGUUUUGUUCAAAGUAUAGUGCUGACAGCAUAUGCAGGGAGAAGCAUUAACCCCAUCUGCUCCUUGUAUGAGGUUUAGUAUUCCAAGAGAACUUUUUUAAUUAGAGAGGAAAGCUUUAAGCCUAAACGUCCCUUUGAAGCCUGGAACAGGCUUGUUUCUGUGAACAUGCCCUACAGAAUCCGCACCAAGAUGGAAGCAGGGUGAAAUUUUGGAGGACCCUCAUGAGAUUCUCGCACUCUUAAACCUGAACUCAUAGCAAGUUUGGACCAGAAGUACUCCAUCUGGAGUACUGCAUCCAGCUCUGGGGUCCCCAGUACAAGACAGACAUGGAGCUGCUGGAGUGAGUCCAGAGGAGGCCAUGGAGAUGAUCAGAGGGCUGGAGCACCUCUCCUAUGAAGACAGGCUGAGAGAGUUGGGGUUGUUCAACCUGGAGAAAAGAAGGCUCUGGGGACAACUUAUAGCAGCCUCCCAGUACCUAAAGGGGCCUACAGGAAAGCUGGAGAGGGACUGUUUACCAGGGCAUGGAGUGACAGGACAAGGGGUAAUGGCCAUAAGCUGAAGGAGGGCAGAUUUAGGUUAGAUAUGAGGAAGAAAUUCUUCCCUGUGAGGGUGGUGAGGCCCUGGCACAGGUUGCCCAGAGAAGCUGUGGCUGCCCCUGGCUCCCUGGCAGUGUUCAAGGCCAGGUUGGAUGGGGCUUUGGGCAACCUGGGCUAGCGGAGGGUGUCCCUGCCCAUGGCAGGGGGUUGGAACUAGAUGGGCUUUGAGGUCUCUUCCAACCCAAACCAUUCUGUGAUUCUAUGAUUUCUGAGUCUCCUGGUGGUGGCUGCCCUUCACCUAACUAAUGGGAUCACCAGCUGCCCGUGAAGUAAGGAGACUCAUAAGAAAAUGGGAGAGAGAGACUUCUGUAUCAGCAGAUCUGAAUGUCAGGCAGGGCUUCCCAUUGGUCUCAAAAAAUGAGAUCUGUAACUUCCCAGAAAUUCUACACGGUGCUGCAAAAUCAAAACCGUGCACCAGUGUCACACCUGGGGAAGGGACAGCCUGGUCGUGGAGUUUCACUUCAGCACUUCCAUUUUGUCUGAGGUCUCUGCAGCCUCUGGUUCUAUCAAACCAACUGCUUUUCCUCUUCCACGCAGUUUUAACAGCAAGAGGUACAUGCGUGUUUAAGGAACCUGUUUACUGUGCAAAGGUAAACAGUCAGGUUCCAUUUUCACAAUCACUCCUGUGUUAGAGGUAGAUGCAAACAUCGGGUUGCCAGCGCUACUGCGUCACAGAUGCAAACAAUUUUCAUCAGGGUGAAAGCCCGGAUGGUACCACCAUGGCAACCAAUUUUAAAUAGAAACAAUAGGCCAGCUCCUUCGCUGAAAUAAAGGCACAGGACCCAAGGAACUGGUUCCAUAUUCGUACAACAGACAGUAACAUUUUUGAGCAUUCAUAUUUUCUGUGUUUUUAUUGCUUCUUUCCUCAGAGCAUUUCAACAUGCUGUUUGCAAUUUAUAUGCAGUAAAUACUAAUGAAAUGAAGCCAUCUCUGUGUGGCUAGCAGCAGUCAGAAAACAGCAUGGUGGAUAAAGGAAGUUCUUGCCAACUUCUUUAUCUUUCCAGUUACAGAAUCUUUAAAUCCCAUGCAGAGAAGUCAGUCCAGUUUUUCCCUUGAAAAUCUCAAAAAAAUAACCAACAAAUCAUUAACGUUGGAAAGAUGAAGUGCUGAAUCAUGCCUCCCAUGCUUUAGAACUUGUGUUCCACUGCGUCUAAUUAUUUCACACUUGCUACAUAAAUCUUUGAAAAGCCUCUUCCAAGAACAUUCAUGGUGAGGGCUGAAAAAGAGAAAGUUCUGAUGAACAGUCUCACAUGGGGACAAUAGUUCUGGUCAAGCUCACUGAACUUAAUGUUGGCUUAUCUCAUAGGAAUGGGAUUUUAUUUGGCCCCAAACAACCUCAAGCCAACUUGAAAUUGCCGUGAGAACAGUACAGUCAAUGUGCAGCUGACUGAGCGUGUAGAAACCGCAAGAAAAUGUUGAACAUAUUUUGAAGCAGUUUAACCAGUGUCUUUUGUGUAUCCGAAAUGAGGUGAAAGUAUGUUAAAAUCGCACCAGAUCUCUCUCCCUUGUUGCAGCCAGCAAGCCUUAAACAGAGUCACUGGGUGUAGAAAUUGGAAACUACUUCUCACUGUUGCUUGGGUAUUGGGGAUGAGGAGUUGUUAUUAAAAAAACCCCAAAACCGAACAAAACAAACAAACAAAAACCCCCUAACCUACAGCAAAUUCAAGAAGGGCAUGUACCAAGUACUCCACAGCUCUUAAUUCUGAGAAGGAACUUCAGUGCUCUGGCAUUGUUUUCCCCGGUGCCAUUCUUAUCUGACAGGUAGUAUCAGUUGCCAGAAACAAUGCGGGUUUAUUCUGUACUGUGUAUUCUAAUAGAAAUGGAGCUGAAUACUUGUCAUAGUCCUUUGGGCAGGGCUCCUUACUGCUGCAGAGUUUAAUAUUGAGAUUGGCAACAUUAAGUUAGCUGAUGUAAUCCAUUCCAUUACAGAUAUUUACGGCACGCCAUAUUACAAUACAAAGGCAGAGGUUUAGAGACUGGAAAGAUGUGACAAGCCAAAAAGCCAACCCAUUCAAAACUGAGACUGACACUGCAGGGGUCUAUUCCCCUCACUGUACGUUCACAGAAAUUUCUUUUAAUGCCAUUAGGAGCAUACGUGAUGCAAAAUUCAGAUCAGGCAUAAAGCAAACGGCAGCUCCACUGAUGGCAAACAAAGUCGCUGUUAUACACACCGCAUCUGACUGUAGAUCUGUCUUUAACCAGUGACUCACGAUCACCAGCGUGUAUUGUCCAAAGUCACUCCUAGGUUUCCCCAUUCUUUGGCCAAACAUCACAAGCCUUGGUUUAUUGUAACGCAGGGGGAAGGAGCAGCAUAGAGGAGUGUUUGUUCCUCUCUCUGGCAGCCUCUUUAUACUCCUGCAGUAGCCCAGGAGCUGAUACAGUGAUCUGUGAGUUAUUACAAGUCAGAAAACUAUGUGCAGCUUAUUUAUGCUUUCACAGUCCUGGAUAUUUCCUUCUUGAAUUUCUUGCCUACCUCCAAGUCUCAUCAAGCCUCAUCAAGCAGCUCUUUCAGAUUGGAGGGCAGAAGCUGAGUGACUCCCUACCCGUUUAAGAGCCCAUUUCUUUCCUGCAGCUCUCCUGGAGGAUCUGCGGCGUCCGUUGUGCAGAAUCAGCACUUUCAUUAGGCUUAAUGGGGCCUCUUCUUGUGGAAGACACUCGUAACCGAGGAAUUUCUAUUACAGAGCAUCGAGGAGAUAUACACCCCACACUGCCUGGUGCUUGCGAUUUAAAGUGAAAAACAUACUGAUAAUGUGGUAUGAAUGCAGUGCUGUGUUUCCGAUGCAGAUGGGCCCAAACCAAGAGCUCACUUCCCUGAAUUUCUUCAAGUUCAAGGGAGGCUGGAGCCAAAGUGCUUAACUGAACAGUCUAACUUUUACGUUUAGUUUUAUUUGUCAUGGAAGUGGCAAAAUUUGCUUUAUGAAACAACUGGUGUUUGCCACACCAUUAAAUCAGUUUCUUGCCUUUUGCAAUGGCUUCUCAGUGCUGUUGGUAAAAAUAAUGCUGCUUUUCCAGUACAUGAUGUAAAGCGAUUUCAGCUGCGUUUUUUCCAUUCCUGACCUCUGCAAUGCUGGCAUUUUAGACAGUUUUAUACACUUAUUGAUUACCUGAUGUACUGUUCUAAUUUCUAGGAAGUAAGAACAUAGCCCUUAAAUCAUCCAGACUCUGAAAUGUUUUAAUUUCCUCAAGUAAAUAGAGCAUAUUUUGCCAGGAAUCUUAAACGUACGAUACGUGGAUCUGAUUCCACUUUUACACAAGUCUUGUAUAACUCCCUUCACUUCAGUGAAAUUACUCCUGAUUAGCAUUGAGAAUCAGGCCCAGAAUAUGGGGAGGAGAGUGGGUUAAUGCCAUUUUUUCUGACAUUGAGUGCUUUAAAAGCACUCCGAGAUUGUAACCCAUUACCAUUUCUCGGUAAGUGCCCUCUGAGAGGAUUGGGAAGGAUUGAAGAGUUUUUAACCAGUAAGUCACUUCAGGUCUUUCCCAAAACAGGAGAGGUUUAGCCAUUUCUAGCUGCUGGCUAUUUGGUGAUUAUGUAUAGUCGGUGAGCUGGUGGUCAUCGACCGGUGAGCAAGUGUCCACACCACAACUGCUGCUAUUGAGUUAGUUCCCUUGCUGGCAAUCUGGAAAGAGGGUGAAUGGAGCAUGGGUCUGGUUCCCUUCCCAGGCUUUGCAAGUUUUCCUGUCAAGCAGGAAGGAAAGUGUUUUAUCAAAACGCUUUACAAAAGUGUAUUAUUUCCCUCAUCCAGAACUGUCAUGCUCCAGCGCCUAAACACGAAGGCUGAUAUUCUCUAACAGCCCCAUCAAACUCCCACACCGUAGAUGACUGCUACAAGUUAUAAGCACUCCCAAAAUAGGGCUGGAUUUUCACAGCGAUAAUUGAGAGCCGUAACUUUCCACCAGGGAGGCUCUGUAGGUGGGAGCAACAGCAGAGACAGUCAUAUCAACAGAGUCAAGGCUUUUUACCAGGAUGUUAUCUAAUUUUGUUAUAGUAUAUAUACACCGUAAUCCUAUCAAUGUAUAGACUUUCUUUACUGGAUGUGUCCUGUACGCUCCCCAGAACCCUAGGGAAGCUAAGAAAAAGACUUUGUCCUUAUGACUGCCCUAAGCCCUGAUUCAGGAAAAUGUUCAUAUUCAGCUUAAGCUUUGUGGACACUGUUGAAUCGUGCUGGCUUCAGUGAACUGAUGACUAGAAAAACUGUUCAUGCAGGGUUUUGUUUCCUUCAGAACAACUGAAAAGGUUACUUAGUGCUACCACGACUAAGGAAAACCUUAAACCACCACCAACCACUCAUUAGCUCAGUUCUGACGUAAAUAUCGGGAUAUCUAAAUGCAAGUUAAAUAACAAGACGCUAAACAGAGCAAUAUUCUCAGUCACUGCAAGCAAUAAUUGUUGUUCUUUUGGGACUGCAUGGCCAGAAAACUGGAAUCAAAGAACACUUAUGGUCACAUUCUCAUCGGGUACGCCGCCACCUCAAUCAAAUAACGCGAGCUGCACUGCAGCAACUGCUGUUGAGAUCAGAAUCUGCAUAUAGAUAUUCUGCCUCUCAAGUUCUAAAAGUACUGUUGUAUUUCAAGGCAAAGAGAAAAGAGAGAACAAAUAAGACAAUUUAUUGCUGCAGAUUAUUUUUAUGCCUGUGUGCUCCAUUUAAGAGAAUAAUCUGUAAAUGACUUAUUAUCAAGAAAAGUUAUUUGUUUGCACUAAUCAAGCCUUAAACUUGGAGGCAUAAUAUGGAACUAAUUAUUUUUAACUAACUAAUCAACAUGUUUCAUUCAUAAGUUGGGAUUUAUCAAUACAGCACAUGAAAGGAGAGAACAUAUUAUUAUUUCAAUUUAGAUAAUAUGCAAAAAGCACUGUGUUUGUAAUGACCUGCUUUCACUGAAUAUAAUCAAGCUCCAAAGCUCUAUUACAGGCUGGAAAUAGCAGCAGCUUACUUUAAUGAGAUUUCUGGCUCUGGGCCCCAGCUGUUCUACGCAAGGCUCUCCCUUUGCUCUAUGACCUACCAAUAUGUGCUGUCACCAGUAAUGAGACAGGACCUAUUUCCUAACAUGGGGAAAAACUGGAAAGCAUGAGUUCAUUCUACUCUGUCGGUGGAAACACACCCUCUUUCCCCUGCAAGGCAGAAGGAGGGGAACACUGAAUAUCCAACAUCCCCCCCCCCCCCCGCCUUGCCAGUGGAAAUAUGACAUGAAACCCAUAAGGUAGAGAACUCAAAGGUAAGACCGAAACUCUCUUCUUAACUCGUUCCCUUAGCACAUAGAAAACCAAUAUUCAUUAGGCACAUACAGAAUACGUCUCUCCCCUGUGAAGUACCCCAGCAGAGGACUUUACAUUAUCUGCAAAGCAUGGGGAAGGGGGAACAGUAGCACUCAGGCUCUGAAUUUUAUGGAUUUUGUGGAAUUAUGCUCAUCUCAGAGCCGUGUUGGGAAUGUGCCAGGAGCCAAAGAACUGCACUUAAUUUGCCUAAAAUGGAGCAGAUUACCACUGCUCUCCUUUUUAUUAAUGGAGAUGCAGCCUGGAGACUACAGAUUCCAGCAAGCAACACUCCAAAGAGCCAAGCAGCCCAGGCGCUGCGCUGAGACAGCAUUGCACGCUGCGAGCCAGCCCCGAGGACGGGGUCUGAGAUACGCAGUAAGGGGUACCGUGACUCCAGGGUGGAAAAAAGACACCAAUCUCAUUUUGGUCACUCUGAAUUGGACUCUUAAUAUUCUUCUCUUUGCCUUUUUAUUAUUAUAGCCCACACUUUUCAGAACUUCUGUUCUUGAAAAUGUUUGAUUAGCUAACAUUUGAGAGGGUUAUGCUAUUUUUAUCCUUGAGCGGUCUCUUGGAUUCAUUAACACUUUGCACGUGAAUCUGUUUUUUUAGGACAAGAAGCCAGUGCUUUUUCCCUGAAUAGCAUUGUUAAGUAUUUCAGGAAUCUAAAAUCCACAAACUAUUUCUGUGCCCUGAAUACAAAACCUCUUUGGAAAAAGCCAAUGAACAUUUUAGUCAGAAAAUUGGAAGGUGUGUGUUUAAUGCACUUUGAAAUUAAAUGAUUUGGUGCUCUUCAAUUUGUCUUUUUGCCCUUCCCAAAUACCCAAAGGCACUAGCCCACUUUGUAAAUGAAUAGGCUAUGAAAUCUUAUUUUGAGAAAUGAAGGUGUCACCGAGUUGCAGGAAAAAUUAUACUUAGCACCACUGCACUUUGUAAGCCCUGACUAAUUGGCCCUUGCAACAGCCCUGAUGCAUUCCUCCUUCAUCAGGAGGAAUUAAAUAACCAAUUCUUUUCUUUUAGAAGUGGAAGAACCCAAACCCAAAAGACUGAGAAGCCAAGACUCCAUAGCAUAAACAUUAAAUGCACUGAAUGAGUACUGCCUUCCGGAUGCCUCUUGGACAACGGGUGGGUGCCCACGGACAGGCUGUCCUGGCACGCCUGGGGCUGGCUCGCCCGCUGCACUCUGCCUCAGCCUCCCAAAUAUUUGGAAAAGGGCACCCUGGCUGUGCCCAGGCUGUGCUUGCAGGCUAACCCCGUUCCCGGCAGACGAGCCUCUCUUGAAAGGGUUUCGGGGCAGCCGUUGGCACACAGACCAGGCACCAGAGAGGUAUCUCCCUUUUGCUUCCCCCACAGAUGCAAUGCUGUGAUGCAGUUGUGAUCAAAAUUUAGGAACUUUCAGCUUCAGAAAUCCCAUCAAAGCCUGCGGUGGGCAGACAAACACCUGUCGUGUGCUUUUUUCCUUCUACAAUUUCAGAAAUUACAAAGUUAGCUUUCAAAUUUGCAUUUUAAAGCUCUGUAUCUGUGUGGAAUUUUUUUGUCCAGCUUGAAGAAGCGGUAUCCUUACAUGAAAAAAGAAAAAUGCAUUUCCAAAGGCCACAUUGCCAGAUUUUGAAGUACAGUUGUAAGAACACCACCACCUUUGCAACACUACCUAUUUCCUCUUCUAAAUUAUUUAUCUAUUUCUUGUAUUUUACAUGAGCCAUGGAAGCUAGAGGCAUUUUUGCAGUGUCAGGUCAUUCUGAAGUACAUUCCAUACAAAGAAUAGGGCUGGAAAAUACAGUUGUAUGUAAAAUUGUUCAUUAAUAUUACAUAAUUACUGCACACGAAAUAGUUCUCUGGGCAGUGAUAAGGAUUUUUUUCAUAAAGACUAAAGACUCCAAGGCAAUGUAUUCCAUUAAGGGGUUGCUUAACGUAGGAGGGUAUAUCAAUAUCUAUAGUACCUUGAUCCAGUUGCAGAAAAAUGACGAAGCCAGCUUAGCCAAAUGAAGCCAUUAGCAUGUAUAAUGUGUUUUACACAAGAGUUAAAUGGUUUACCGGGUUUAGAAAAUCAUACUUUGAUAUUGCAAUGACCAAGCUGAGAUAUGAUCUAGCAAGCAGCAGUUGCAGCUGCAUCAGCACAAAAAUGAACUGUUGGAUUUUCUCUGCGACCCAGAGAACAUUUUCUGCAGUCUUUGAAAAUUGCUCUGAAAUAAAAAAAAAAUUCUUUACGUGUAGGCUAAUAUUAGCUACUGACAGCUUGCCUAGAGUUUUUAGAUCAGCCUUCCUGGAGCAAUUGUUUAGGAUAAAAUGUUGAUGCAGCUUUUCAGGUCUGUUGGUUGCCUUUACUACUAUUGAACAUGAGCAAGUCCUGCGUCUUAUGCGAUACAUUAGACCUAAAGUAAUGUGGAAGUAAUAAUCCCAUAAAGGAUGCCUUUGAAUUUUAGUAUAGCCCUACUUCCUAAAGUCCUUGUGCUCUAUGUAUAGUGUUAGUUUUGACUUUUAAUUUGACUUACUGAAUUGUGUUAAUAUGCUGUAGACUGUUGUAUGGACAAGACACAACAACCCUUAUUCAUAUAAAACUGGAGAUCUGGACAUCCCGGUAGGGUUUUUCACAUUCAAGAAAACAUCAGGCCUUGUUACAGUUUUUGAGAUAUAAGAUACAGGUGAUAAUUCUACUCCUAGAAGAGAUUCAUAUCCUCUUUCUGCUCCUUUUUUUUUUAAGGCAGAAGAUGACUUUAAGUGUACAGCAGUGUGACUUGAAUUCUCGCAGCGUUAAAUAGGUGCAUCAGUCUGCUGUUUGGGUAAUCAGCAGUGUGUGUGGUGUUAAUGUUUGAAGUUCGUGUGUUGAGUCACCGAGGGUUCACCUUUCUUUCCAGAUGACACUGUGACAGCUGCAAUCAGCAGAUGCAUGAGAGCUGACAGUCCUUUGAUUUUAAAAAAAGCAGGGUUGCUGGCAAGGCAUUUUCCUUAAGGAGUUCCUUCUAAGCUCUGUAAGUCAUUCCACUUCUUAGCUCAAUAGGACCUUGAUUUGAUAACACUCAGGGUAUAUCACAAACAGCACAUCUGCUCUCCUGGAGUCUCCCAGGAUGAGUGGUGUGACUGAGCUGGAGAGGCUUCUUCAUGGGGAUUCCUUUUUUUCAGGUUUAGUUUAUCUGUGAGCUAAUUCUAUUAACUUAUCGUUAAUGAUUCCAUGUCUUAGGGGUCAUACGACCUUACCAAGGCCACGCGGUCCACCUGGCAGAAUUGUUUUGUUUUGCCGUGAAGAUCUUCCCCUUUGCUGUGUUUCAUUGGGUGUGUAACACCAAAGGGUUGAAUGGGCAAGCAAACCACAGAUCUCAAGAUUGUUUCUGAGUAAAAAGUGAGCAAACAGAUUUCUCUACACCAGUUCAGCCAUCCUCAAUUCUUCCUGUGACCUGAGUCACAAUCGAGCACUUACUGGGUGAUGUGUUACGGUGAGACUGUCAGAAUACAAGCAGGCUAAGAAAUCUAAUCCUCAGAGGAGAGCAGUAUGUUCCCACUUGUGAUUUAGUCUCACAGUGAAGAGGCUGUCAAGGGGUUUGCAGUCCUGGAGAUUGAUUCGGGGGGAGCCUGCUUAGUGCACAGUGCCACUGGCAGUCAUCAGCUAAAGCUGCCUAAUGAUGUCAGCUGGAGUGGCCAGGGGAAUCCUCUCCUGUAAGGUAGCCAGAAGAGCUAAAUUGCUUCCAGAAAUGAAUCCAUUAGGUACUGAUAGUGAUUAGUGUAAGGUACCAUAAUGACUAAAAGUACUUCAAGUGUAAUUCAGUCUGAAAUCUCUUCCAGGUGAGAGGUGUUAGAUACAUCACGACUGAGGUGCCGGUACCUGUUUGGUGGAUGGGGCAGCAAAUCUGGGCACUGACUCACCGCUCUAUGUGAGCAAAUGUGAGAGAGAAAACUCUCCCUCUUCCCUCCCACUGAAAAUAUCCUUGGGUAUUUCUUGUUGAGGAAAAGGGAAAUUUAGGAUUAAAUAUCUAAAUUAGUUAGAUUCACAUUAUUUAGAUACCCAAGGGUUGGUUUGGGGUUUUUUUUUAAUUAUUUCAAUCUUAUGUUUCAAGUUUCAUCCAAAAGUUAGGUCAUGGUACAAGCUACAGGAAAAUCAGCAUGUCACUUGCUACAUGAUAAAGGGUUGAUUUGACUGUGCAAAGAUUUGAGCUUAUGGCUUGAGUGAUUUAAGAAAUCUUCCUCAUACCACUAGCUAUAUGUUGAAUUUGAGCCAUAAGAAGGUUUUUAGGAAUGCUUGUCACUAUUUUAAUGUGCCGGUAAUGAAAAGCAACAACAACAUCUUCAUCGCUCCAUGGAAACUAGCUUGGUUUUGCAGUGUUAGACAGCUGGGAAAGGAAGAUUCUCUCCUGUAAAAGAAGGUGGCAAAUGAAACUCUAUUGCUAUUUAAAGUAAUUAAUUUUAAAAUGUGUGACAAUUUUUUAAGCUAAUCAUGUAGUUGAUUUGAUGAUUAGUUUCUGUAAAAGUUAUGUGAGAAAAUCCUGUUGGUUUUCAUGCAUUCCAAAUAAAGCUCAGACACAUUAUUUGAGACGCUCUUUACGUCAUCCAGUCAUCAAAGCGGCAAGUGCCUCACAGGUUGUUAAAUGCACUUAUUUAUAGACACUACUCACUUUCUUUAGGGAUUUGUUCUUCUUUGCAACCAAAUGUAGUGACUGCAAUCCCUGUAUAUUGUUCAGGCAUUUUUCCUCAAAGGGGCUUAAUAAAAUGACACAAAUCCCGCCGGGCAGCUGAUACCAUCACAAUGUCAGCCGUUAGGAAACCUCCCAUGGUUUCAGCAAACCACGUUUGUCAAGCAAAGUGAUUAAAGUCAGAUUUUGGAAUUUCUGCUCAUAUCACUCUAGCUGAUCUGCAUCUACCCUAACGCAUCGCAAGGGUGUGCCUGAAAUUAAAUUAAGGCCAUCUACUCAGUCUUUCCCAAACGAUUCAUGUCACAGCAAUCUACUGCUGGAGCCAGGUUCACAGCUUCUUGACAGAAGUGCUCGUUAACCCUGAAUCUGAUGGUGAUGAUGAUGACAAUAAUCACAGUAUGACUAGAGAAACACAGAGGAAAGUAAUACUUAAUAUCAGAUGGGCUCACAUAGGUUGCAAAGAGUAAACAAAAGGGGAAAUGAUAACCCAGUACUUACAUGUUCACAAACAAUUAUGUUUUCACCAUACGUAAACAAGUCUAUUUUCACAUGUGGAAACAAGGUAUAUACAAUUGCAAAGAAAAAAGUUUAUUUAAUAAAACUGUUGAGAAAUACUGGGUUUGGUAAAAAUAUCUGUAUCAUCCAAACUUACAGUCAGUUGACUGAGUAGGUUAGAAAGAGCCUUGGAGGAAGUAGCAGUGGGCACUCCACUACUAAAUGAGAAUUAUUCAGGAAAUGUUUCUGCAUGUUUCCUUUUCCACUUGAUUUUUCUACUGCUGUAUCUACGUAUAGCUAUCUUAAUUUCACUAUAUUUUGUUAUUUAAUUUUGAAUUAUAUUUUAUUUACAUAUUUUAAUUUGUAGAUGUGCAGAAAGGGGACCCAUCCCACUAUUUUACAAACCAGAUCUGUAGUAGACAAAAGUUUUCAUGCUUCCUCGUGAACAAUCCACAUUCCUUUGCAAGAAUAAAUUUUAAAGCACACGUUAGUUUUGGCCCCAUGGUUGUGCCCGUAGACCACAUAACUGUAUAUACAAAAACCCAAUCACAUGUGCCAAGUGUGGCGUUGGCAUCCGGUAACCACAGUAGAAGUAAAACUGGCAUUUCACUUUGUAUGCCUGGCAGCUGGGGACAACCAAGCCCAUUGCUUUUACACAGAUUUGCUAUGCGUGAUGAAGUAAUAAUCACUACAUGUUUAAUAAA
Molecule: RNA transcript, 12734 nt
Organism: Grus americana (Whooping crane)
Lineage: Eukaryota; Metazoa; Chordata; Aves; Gruiformes; Gruidae
Exons: 2
Source: RefSeq, a predicted model, not a curated record